UGGGGAAUAUUGCGCAAUGGGCGAAAGCCUGACGCAGCGACGCCGCGUGGAGGAUGAAGGUCUUCGGAUUGUAAACUUCUGUUAAGUGGGAAGAAAGGCUUGCCAGUAAUAUGGGCGAGAGAUGACGGUACCACUAGAGAAAGCACUGGCUAAUCUCGUGCCAGCAGCCGCGGUAAUACGAGAGGUGCAAACGUUAUUCGGAAUCAUUGGGCGUAAAGGGUGCGUAGACGGUAUGACAAGUCUGUUGUAAAAGACUCCAGCCUAACUGGAGCAGCGCAAUGGAAACUGUUGAACUAGAGUGUGAGAGAGAGAAGUGGAAUUCCCGGAGUAGCGGUCAAAUGCGUAGAUCUCGGGAGGAACACCGAUGGCGAAGGCAGCUUCUUGGCUCAUUACUGACGUU
Molecule: ribosomal RNA, 400 nt
Filed under: uncultured bacterium
Lineage: Bacteria
Description: bacterial SSU rRNA
Rfam family: Bacterial small subunit ribosomal RNA
Source: RNAcentral